CAACAAAAUCGUCUCGAUGCAGUUCACUACCCAAAUGUGUCUCCGGAGUUCGGAUCCUCCUAAAAUCUGAAGGAGUGGUGAGUAGACGACCUACCGAUCCCCGCUUCCUCGUCAUAGAACUGCUUGUUUGACGCUGACGAACGGCUCUUCUCCGACAGUUCCUGUUCCGAUGGAUCUCGGCCAAGAUAGAUAUGCAGAGUAUUCUUUCUUCUGUUCCUUCGGACAAGAAGGAGCAUAAGAGCAUCUAAAAUAAACUCUCGGCGAUGGAUUAUCUUUUGUGACCUUCUGACCAUAUUUCCUCCAUUGAUCAGCGGCUGCAGUGCUUGUGAACAUAUCUAUGGAUAAUCUGCCAACUCAGACACUCCAUUUGGUCGACGAUGUGUGAGGAGGUAAAUCGAAAAAAAUUAUAGUUGGUUAAUGUAAGGAGCAUUUUUUUUUUCUCUAAACUUUGCCGAGAUUUGAAUAUUUAUCCAAUGAUAAUAAUUUUAUCCCGCCCUAGCCGACUCAACUUUACCGGGGCACUUCUGAACAUGUCCAGCCACCGAAUUAAGUGGUUACACGUAAGAUUUUGUUUUCCAUAAUCCUUAAUUUCCGAGUAAAACAAGUUGUCUCUAGCCCAUGCAAUUGCAUAGCAAGUGCAGAUUGACUGUCUCCAUGCACUUUUUUAAAGGAAGUCAAGCUACGGCUCUUGUUUAUUGAUCGCCACCUUGACUCUUAAAUGUAAAUGAUGAUAAUAAUUAGGAAAUGGAUCUAUAAGACUCAAGAGCAC
Long non-coding RNA from Zingiber officinale, 769 nucleotides. RefSeq lists it as uncharacterized. The record is from RefSeq and is a predicted model, not a curated record. NCBI's taxonomy places the organism in Eukaryota, Viridiplantae, Streptophyta, Magnoliopsida, Zingiberales, Zingiberaceae. The transcript is spliced from 3 exons.